GGACGAACGCUGGCGGCGUGCCUAAUACAUGCAAGUCGAACGGUCUUUCUAUGGAAGCUUGCUUCCACUGAGAAGAUAGUGGCGAACGGGUGAGUAACACGUGGGUAACCUGCCCAUAAGAGGGGGAUAACAUCCGGAAACGGGUGCUAAUACCGCAUAGUUUUCUUGAUCGCAUGAUCGGGAAAGGAAAGACGGCCUUUGUGCUGUCGCUUAUGGAUGGACCCGCGGCGUAUUAGUUAGUUGGUGAGGUAACGGCUCACCAAGACGAUGAUACGUAGCCGACCUGAGAGGGUGAUCGGCCACAUUGGGACUGAGACACGGCCCAAACUCCUACGGGAGGCAGCAGUAGGGAAUCUUCCGCAAUGGACGAAAGUCUGACGGAGCAACGCCGCGUGAGUGAAAGAAGGUUUUCGGAUCGUAAAACUCUGUUGUCAGAGAAGAACAAGUUGGAGAGUAACUGCUCCAGCCUUGACGGUAUCUGACCAGAAAGCCACGGCUAACUACGUGCCAGCCGCCGC
RNAcentral lists this ribosomal RNA (518 nucleotides) under uncultured bacterium. RNAcentral's name for it is "bacterial SSU rRNA". It matches the Rfam family "Bacterial small subunit ribosomal RNA", at positions 27 to 518 of the family's 1533-position model. The record is from RNAcentral.